Molecule: ribosomal RNA, 233 nt
Filed under: uncultured Planctomycetales bacterium
Lineage: Bacteria; Pseudomonadati; Planctomycetota; Planctomycetia; Planctomycetales
Description: partial 16S ribosomal RNA
Rfam family: Bacterial small subunit ribosomal RNA
Source: RNAcentral
GGAGUUAUGAAAUGUAGGAAUGUUAAUAGCAUUUCUAUUUGACUAAGGCUCCAGAGGAAGCCACGGCUAACUCUGUGCCAGCAGCCGCGGUAAUACAGAGGUGGCAAGCGUUGUUCGGAAUUAUUGGGCGUAAAGAGCACGUAGGUGGGUUUGUAAGUCAGAUGUGAAAGCCUUCUGUUCAACGGAAGAAUUGCAUCUGAAACUACAAGUCUUGAGUGUAGGAGGGGAGAGUG